Molecule: long non-coding RNA, 2112 nt
Filed under: Calidris pugnax (ruff)
Lineage: Eukaryota; Metazoa; Chordata; Aves; Charadriiformes; Scolopacidae
Description: lncRNA (ENSCPUG00000018811.1)
Source: RNAcentral
GCCACUGCCUCUGCCACUGUCAGUGCCUCUGUUACUGCCUCUGUCACUGUCACUGCCUCUGCUACUGUCACUGUCACUGCCACUACCACUGUCACUGUCACUGCCAUUGCCACUGCCACUGGCACUGCCAAUUCUACCGCCACUGUCUCUGCCACUGCCACUGUCACUGUCACUGUCACUGCCACUGCCAUUGGCACUGCCAAUUCUACUGCCACUGUCUCUGCCACUGCCACUGGCACUGCCUCUGGCAAUUCUAUUGCCACUGCCAUUGUCACUGCCACUGUCUCUGCCACUGUCACUACCUCUGCCACUGCCAUUGCCUCUUCCAAUUCUAUCGCCACUGCCUCUGCCACUGUCACUGCCUCUGCCAAUUCUAUUGCCACUGCCAUUGUCACUGCCACUGUCUCCGCUGCCACUGCCUCUGCCAAUUCUGCUGCCACUGCCUCUGCCACUGUCACUGCCACUGCCUCUGCUGUCACUGCCUCUGCCAAUUCUACUGCCACAGCCCCUGCCGCUGUCACGGCCACUGCCACCUCUGCCCCUUCCCUGUGGUUAAACGGGGUCACUUGGCUCCUGCCCAUGCCGCAGGCCGUAGCGGGGUGUCCGGUGGUGCCAGCCACGCUGCGGCGGGUGCUGCUCCACCUCUGCAGGGCUGCGGGCAGGGGCGGCCGGCGCCAUCCCGCGCUGCCAUCCAGCCCUCCUGGAAAAGCCACAACGGCAGCGGGACCUGGGAGGAGCCGGGGCGUGAUGACUCUGCAGUGGGGCUGCGGAGCCGCCGUCGCUCCCCGCGGCUCAUUGUCUCUGCACGUUGCCUGCAGCCUCCCGUGGGGACCAGCGUGUCCAGGCAGCAUUUGCAAACCACCUGCUGUGGGGCCAGGCUCGGCGGGGAUGGGGGGGGACACACCAGGCAUCUCGGGGACCAGGCGGCAGAGAUGCCAUGGAGCAUCUGGCAAAUGGAUUCCCUGCCUGGAUGCGAGCAGGAGGUGCCCGUGGUGGGUCAGGAGGGACGUGUCUGCGUGGGGUGACCUGCUCUCUCACUCAGCAAUGAAAAUAUGGGGGGAGAAAACCCCCUCGCUGCCCAUUCCUCGCUGCCACCCCCAGAGCUGUGGUGCUGCCGCAGCGGUGCCAGCGCUGCCUCCCUUUGUCUGCAGCUUUCAGGGCUGGGCAGCCCUGGGAGAAGGUGGUGGUGGUGGUGGUGGUGGUGGUGGUGGUGGUGGGACACACAAAGGCUCCCUGCAAACCCAGAAGCGGCUGAAAAUCUGAUUUUCAGGCUGGGCUGCUCCUGGCUCCCCAGGGGAGGAUCCAGUCUCACACACACACACACACAAAAGGCGGUGAGACAAUGGGGGAGAGAAAAUGGCUCCCCAAAAGGAGCCCGGUAGCAUCUGUCAGGUUAACUCUUUGCAGGGAGAAGGGCUGUGCUGAAGCACCCUGGGGAGGGGGGAUGUCGGGCCCAGCCCCUUCUCUAACCCCCUACCUAAGAUCACCAGGCUUAGGAGAAAAUGGUGGUUUCAAGACAAAGAAGUAAACCAGCAUUUUUGGCUACAUUUCCUUCCCAGGAGCAUUGAAAACCGGGCAAGAAUCCAUUUACCUGUCUCGAGCCCUAUUCUUGAUGAGGUUUCUGAAAAAAAGAUACAGACAAGCGGUGCAUCAGUUAAUCUUAAUUUUGGUAGGGGGGCUGCAGAGGGUGCCCGACGGUAGCCAGGCUGCCCGGGUACCACCAUCCAGACCGGGCAUCACCCCCCCUGGGCCGGGUCUGUGGUUUGGAAGAUGCUGCGGAUGCGCUGCUGCUCCUGCCCCUAACAAAGAGAGCGGGGCCCAGGCUGCCCCCAGCCUGGUACCCCCCAAGAAAAGAUGGUGUCUCCUGCCAUUGGGUUCGUGGGGGGGUUAUUGAUAACCAGGGAAUAAGAAUAUAAAGGGAGGGGGUGUAAUUUUUAAUUUUUUAUUGGAGAGGGAGCGGAUGGAGCAGCAGCCUCCCGGGAGCGAUGCCCGCAGGACCAGCCGCAUCCCGGGGGGAGCAUCACUCCACGGGGCAGAGCAAAGCACUUGGGGACAUGGUGUGCAGGAUCCAUCCCAAUCCAUAAGGGAGGAAGGGGUGGCAGAGAGGACAGC